AGAGUUUGAUUAUGGCUCAGGAUGAACGCUGGCGGCGUGCCUAAUACAUGCAAGUCGAACGAGGCCCUUUGUAUUCGUACGAAGGUGUCCUAGUGGCGAACGGGUGAGUAACACGUAGGUGACCUGCCCCGAAGCGGGGGACAACUCCGGGAAACUGGAGCUAAUACCCCAUGUUCUCCAUGGUGUUAGAGGACCAUGGAGCAAAGGAGCAAUCCACUUUGGGAGGGGCCUGCGGCCCAUCAGCUAGUUGGUAGGGUAAUGGCCUACCAAGGCUAUGACGGGUAGGGGACCUGAGAGGGUGGUCCCCCACACUGGAACUGAAACACGGACCAGACACCUACGGGUGGCAGCAGUAGGGAAUAUUGCACAAUGGGCGAAAGCCUGAUGCAGCAACGCCGCGUGCGCGAUGAAGGCCUUCGGGUUGUAAAGCGCUUUUCUGGGGGAAGAGGAAGGACGGUACCCCAGGAAUAAGUCUCGGCUAACUACGUGCCAGCAGCCGCGGUAAAACGUAGGAGGCGAGCGUUAUCCGGAUUUACUGGGCGUAAAGCGCGUGUAGGCGGUUAGGUAAGUCGGACGUGAAAGCUCCCGGCUCAACUGGGAGAGGCCGUUCGAAACUACCUGACUCGAGGGCAGUAGAGGGAGGUGGAAUUCAGGGUGUAGCGGUGAAAUGCGUAGAUAUCCUGAGGAACACCAGUGGCGAAGGCGGCCUCCUGGGCUGACCCUGACGCUCAGACGCGAAAGCUAGGGUAGCAAACGGGAUUAGACACCCCGGUAGUCCUAGCUGUAAACGAUGCAGACUUGGUGUUGGCAGUUUAAACACUGUCAGUGCCGUA
RNAcentral lists this ribosomal RNA (833 nucleotides) under uncultured Chloroflexota bacterium. Its description in RNAcentral is "bacterial SSU rRNA". It matches the Rfam family "Bacterial small subunit ribosomal RNA", at positions 8 to 850 of the family's 1533-position model. Lineage: Bacteria; Bacillati; Chloroflexota. The record is from RNAcentral.